GCAAGUUGACAGGGCAGCCAGUGAUGACGUCAACUCUGUGCCCCGUCACUACCAGACCCGGAAGCGAGAGAGGGCGGCGCCCCUGAUGUUACGCGCCACCUGACCCAGUGUGUAUUCGCUGCCCGAUGGAGUAGCCAUCCUUGGGGUUGCGGAUCUUUUCUCUCCCCCAGCAACCAGAACCAAGAAACCUUCAGAAGCAAUUUGAAUUUACCAGUAAGAAAGAAUUAAGGCUCGGAGCAGGGCGAACAGUGAUUGAGAACUGAAUUAACGUAUACAAUAAACAACUGAGCAUGUGGAAGAUUUUGGCAAUCGUUUUUCUUGCAACAUGUUUGUGUGAUUAUGAUGAUUUCAAAUGAACAUACUUUAUUGAUAAUUCGAAAUCGGUGAUAGAUGGGAACCAUUCCUAUUUCACAGUUCCCUUUAAUUACGGACAUCUUUUCCAUGUCUCUAUCUAAAGCACUUUAAAGAAAAUGUUUGCUGACACCUGUCUCUACAAGAACACGACUAUAUCAUGGAGAUGCAAGUAUACUAAGUUCAUCACUUCUAAGAACUAUACUUGGGAUAAUACCUUUGCAGAUUCCUUUACUAUAAAUAAGUUCAAACCAUCUUUUCUAAACGGCAGUGGAACUUGGAUAAAGAGACUUAUGUUUACUAAACGCAAUAUUUCAAAAUCUAUGCCAUGAAAUCUUUUGGGUGUUGAUUGAAUUAGAUAUGUAAUACUUCAUGUUAAUUCUUUUAAACUGAAGUCGUUUGUGUAGUUAGGCAAAUAAGAUUGGGAUGGAUUAGGAAUUCUCCAGCAUGUAGUUGUGUUAAUUCUGCUGGUCAAGAAUGAGUUCUUGGUUUUGAAGACAGGCCUAGCCCCUCUUCAGAGCAUAGUAGUCUCAAUACGGUUAUUUGCAUUUAGGUGAGUUUAUAGUUUAGGUUAAUUUUGGUCAUUUUUAGCCAUCUGCUAUUUUAUAGGUUUGGAUCCGGAUUAUUAUAAAUUAAUCGUGUCAUACAAAAAAGGUCAGUUUGCUGGAAACCAUAAAUAUUUCUUAGAGGGGCAUAUCAAGCCAGUUGGACAGCCCUAAAUUUGAUUAUAUUAAGCACUACAGCAACAAAUUGUAGGUAUCCCUUUACUUGACAAUUGGAUUUGACAGCAUUAGCAGACUUACAGGAUCA
Xenopus laevis (African clawed frog) is the source of this 1161-nucleotide long non-coding RNA. RefSeq lists it as uncharacterized. The record is from RefSeq and is a predicted model, not a curated record. Lineage: Eukaryota; Metazoa; Chordata; Amphibia; Anura; Pipidae. The transcript is spliced from 3 exons.